AAUAAGCAAAGGUGAGGGCCUCUUGGGCCUGGCUCUGUGAGUUUUCACUGUGGUUCAGGUUACUGGAGUUGGAUGCAGCCGAAAAAGCUCAGAUGUGGCCCUGUGGCUCAUGUUAAGGGGUCACAAGUGUGCCCUGUGUCAGGAAUAGCACUACUUGCACUGGGGGCACUGAUAUGGAGAGGACAGAAGGAGAUGACAGAGAGCUGAGGGGGCGAAAUGAGGCGAACCAGCACUUCUCAGAAAACAGAAAAGAAAGCUUUUAGAGAGCUCUGAAAAGAAGCCACCACUGAAGCUGACUACAGUCCAACGUAUGGUAAAGGAUAGCGUGCUGCACGUCUUCUAGUGACCAAGUGUUUAAACUAAGAUUCAAUAUGGCCUGAGAAACUCGAUUUAACCUGGUAUUACAGCCAAUACUAAAAGGGGCUAAAAAGUAGUGGGGUUUAUUAAGGCAUAUGGAGAAUAAUAGAUGCAAUGGGGAAUUUGAAACGCCAACUCUCUGUGAAGAAAUAAUGCACUUCUAUCUUCCCCGGUAAACGCUGUGUGUGCUCAAAGGGAGCACUUUGCCAAAGGCCUUCAUUACGGCUAAAUGAGACUACGCAACUCCCUUCCCACCUCAUCAAACGGAAAUUUGGGCAUUUGGAUGAUCAAGGUUAAAAAAUUGCAAGGUCAAUCCUUCCUCUCUUGAUUCGCCUGGCUUUGUGAAGCAGCUCUUACCGUCCUCUCUUUGCUAUCCCAAUCUCCUCUCCACAAAGGACUCUUGGCCAGUAUGCAAACAGGACUAGGUCUCUGGACAUAUGGUAUAUUCUGCUGUCUAUGACAGAAAUAGCGCGAUGUUCCGAAAUGGGCAUGUCCCUCAUGGCACAUAAGGACAAAGUGGAGACUGUUAUGGCUGCCAAGUGUCACCCACCAGCUCUUGUCACACAGGCACUAACUCAUUGACCUUGCUGAAAUGUAAGUUUUAGCUUCAAGCUACUGAAUUUUCCCAGAUGUUUGCUCAUUUUUAAUUUGGCCAAUAUUUAAGCGCACGCAGGGCAUUCUCAAUAGGCAGAUAUUAAUCUUCUGUAUUUGCACACACAUGGUUUGCUGUUCUCAGAGCUCUGUGUUGUUUUCCUGGCAUUGGGGGGGGGGGUGGCAAAUAAGCAAACAGCUGAAAAACCUUUGAAGUGCUUCGGAAUGUGGUGCAAAGUUGGACACAGGAAAGAGAUGACUCCAAGUUGCUUGUUAUACCAAUAACAGAUGCAGACUCAGUCAUGGAAAUCAGAGACUUCCUCUCACUGUGCAGGAUACACUUGACCUUUGGAAUAUCUCAAAAUCUGUGUGUCUUGUGCUGUAGGAGAUUUCUUCCUGCAAUCUGGGCUGAUUCCUCUUUGCUUCAAGUGUUUCUCCUGCUCUAAUUAAAUUGAAGCUGACAAGUUUGAGGCUGUGAUAUACAACAGCUGUUCAUCCAGAAACACAAAAGAGAGAUAAAGGGCAUCUGAAGAGUUACAUUAAAUGAUUCUCUAAUUAGAAGAAAAAUAUUGACUACGUUUCUGUUCUACCAGAAGUGGAACUGAUCAGUGGCUGUAAGAAUGACAUUUGAUGUUUCUGCCUAUGAGGACAUUGCAGAGGAAUUAGGAGACAGCAUCAGAGUGCAGACAUCUUUCUCUGCUCUUAGUUGUGUGCCUGGCAUUGGUGAGGCUGGAUGUGAUGCUGAUCCACGCCAUGUUCAGCUAAACCUUCAUUACUAGGCUUAGUAUUCACUAUAUACUGACAUCAUCUUAUAAAUAACCUCUCAUGGGAGCCAAAUAGGCCUCAUUGUAUUAAUGGAAGUUUGACCUCAGAGACGAAGAAUGAAUUACUAAUCCAUUUUCCAGGGCCCAGACAGAGAAGUGAUAUUAUCUCCAUCCGGUUAAGGGAAAUAGUGCUGGGGCUGGGCAGUUUAGUUCAGUCUUGCCUCUACCACUGAAACUUAUGAGAACAUUGUCUCUUUCAGCCUCAUUUUAAAAAUAAAUUCCUGGGAGAGAUUAAUGAGAGAUAUACAAGGAGUCUAGCACGGUACCUGCCACGUGGUGCUCUUUUGAUUUUAAUUAAUAUCAUGAUAUUCUCAAAAUAAAAUGAGAAAUUUCAAAAACUAAGAAUGACACUUUGAAGUCACUAUUUUGAGAUGGUUAUUUUGAUGUAACUCUGUCAUUUGGAUUUAGAAGCAUGUUGAGUUUGACUUAAAAAAUGGUUUUAGUUUUUAAGGGAGUACCAAGCUAAGCAAGAAACAUACUCGCCAUGCUUGAUUUCUCAUACUAACCCCGUGACUAGGACCAGUACUGGUUAGGGUGAAAGUCAGCAUAAAGAUCAGGAACACCCACUGUGCAUGUUGCUUUGAGAUAAAAAUAAUUUUAUAUCUUGAUAUGAUAAUUCUGCAAUGACUGCAACAAAGCAGCAGAAUCAACAUGAUGCUAUAUCACGUCGCGAAACAGGUUUCCAAGACAUUUCAAAGCUAAAAUUCUAUAUUUACUUGAAAUAUCUCAAAAAAUAUACAUGACUGGUAGAGGAGAACAACCGCAAAGGGCAAAUGAAAAAUUCAGGAGGAAAGAAUAAACCCAGGUCCCUCUUAUUUUCCUUCAAACUUCUGUUCCACUACCUAUGACCCUAUAGUCUAAAAAUUGCAAGGCACACAAGUAGUUAACAGUCUUGGUGAAAAUACUUCAUUUACAAACGUACUUUUCCACGUCUAAAUUUCUUUCAUCCCUGCAGUGCCCUUUUGCCUGACUUGAUUGAAAUCUCUUCCUUUCUGUCUUCUAGAUGCAUUCAAAUUCUACUGAUGUGUGACUCCAGAGAAAGUUCUUAAAUUAAGGAGCUAGUGCAAAUCUUGUAAACGGAUCCAUCCCCAAGGGUGCUUUUUUAAACACUAGUUAAGUACUCUUGGAAAAACAAAGAAGAAUUUUGCUGUUAAAUUAGUUUUGCAAACACUGGACUUCAUUUCUUUUUCCUAGGAGAGACAUCUAGCAUCCAUUCUUGCCUUUAGGAUUCUAAGUAGACUACUUACAUUUGUCAUAACGGUGUGUGAAAUGUGAGACCAGGGAGCCCACUCCCUAACUCUCUUCUGAUUAAAAAUCUCUUAGUCUGGUUUUCUACACACAAGACAGAUUUGAAAGUACUUCUUUGGGAAACUGGAAGAAUCAAUGGUAUUACAUAAGAGAAUAAGUAGCCUUGUAAACUGUCUCCAGUAAGCCUAGGUUGGAGGAUGCCCGUUGAGUAGUUAAAAGACCUAGAGAAUAGUCCAAAGAAUACGUAAGAAGGACAUAAUAUAAGGAAGAGCCCAUGGCCCUGAUAAAGGAGAACAAAUAGAAUACCGUAUUUCAGGGUGAGAUAGUGUCUUACUGAAAAUUGAUGGGAGAUUUUGCAAAAUGCAAAAUGGCUUUAUAUCCAACUAACAGAACCACUUGUAUGAAAUUGUCUGUCUCAAGGUAGUGGCUUGAAAAUGUCACUUAGUUUAGUACUUCCAUCUUCCAUUUUAUCUGGAGGACGCUCACAACACUAGUUAAAAGCUUUCACAUUCCAGGUACGAUGCUUAACGGAGCAUAAAUCUGACGGCUAGUAGGGGAAGGAGACAGUAACUUUUCUUGAAAGAGUGUUGCCUGGAGUUUAUUCAGGAGGAUAAGGAUGAUUUUUUUUUUUUUUUUUUUUUGGCAGACUGAACUUCAAGGCCAAAGUGAUAUGUAAAUUAAAAUAUUCAGGAUAACUUGAAGCAGGGAGCAGAGAUUAAAGUGUCUCUAGUUAGGGAGAACUUAGGUUUAGAAAUUAUUCCAUAAAAAUAAUAAAGUGAAAUGCUAGCUUUGAGGAUUAUAUUUCGGUUUGAGAAAACCACAAAAUAGUAAAAAAAAAAAUGUAGUAAAUUAUGCAAGUUUGUCUUUGGAAUUUAUGCAAAUUUGAAAAUCUUUUGGUUUAAACACACUUGUGUCAUGGAUGUUCUUCCCUUAAAAAAAUAGUCAUUUUUAUUCUGUUAUUUUCCCACUCAGCUUUCCCUAGGCUGUCAAAAGCACAAGCUGCAGGGGUAAUGAUAGGAAGAUGAUGGCUGAAAUGCCAGCCCUAAUUAGAGGCUUGAUUGCUCUGUAAUUAAAAAAAGCCUAUAUUUGAUGUGGACAGUUCUGAGUUGUCAGGUUAGAGUGAAUCAAAUAUGUCUGUACUUUCAUUUUGAAAUGUGAAAAAUGUGAAUGUGCAUUAUUUAUAUUGUAUUUCAAUGGCUAUAAUUAAUUAUGUGUCUGUGUAAUGAUAUCCCUAAAGACAGUUGAUUUUAUGUUCAAUCUGUAUGUGCAUUUGCAAAGCUAAUUUGUUUCAUUACAAUUCUUAAGGGUUUAUUUGAGCUAAACUCAGGAGGUCUUGCUGGGUGUAAAAUUCACAAAGUACAAAGUGAAAGUCCAAUUUCAGUUUUUACUAGUAAGCUCUUCAGUGGCUGAAGCCAUGUACUAGAUAUUAUUGCAGUAAGUAUCAGCGGUCAGUAAAAAUAGACAUACUGCAACCUCAAAAAGUGCUUUUUUGUUUGAAAAAUGUGAGUAAAGUAAAUGAACAUGUUGCAAUUUGAACUCCUUUACUAAACGGAAGAAGAGUAUGUUUAUUCAAUAAAAUAUUAACCUUGCAGGGUAAGUUGAUCACUUUUUCUUGACAGCAUGUAACAUUUUGAAGACAUUUUGCUUCUUCUUAAAAUUGUCAUUCCUUACUAUUUUUAUUUUCAAUAUUUGCUUAAUAUGCAAACACCUGAUGUUAAAAUUUCAAAAAUAUUCUUUCAAGUGGCAUGGAUUAAGCAUUUUUUCUUUGUCAGUAUCAGGAGUUCAUUGAUUUACUUUCUAUGAGACCUACAUUUAAUUAGGAACAGUGAAAAUACUAUAUCUUAAACUCAUUGUAUUUAAAUUUCUUCAUGUAGUUGGAUAUUAGCCAUUAAAGUGAUGUUUACCAAGAUUAUAUAUUUAUUAUUUCAUCUACUCAUACUGUUAUUGGAAUAUCCUGGAUAGGCCAAAAUAUUAUCGAGUAGCUCCUUCUAAAAUGACUCGCCAAUUAAAUAUUCCUGGGUCUUCAGUUGCUUGCCUUUCCUUCCAGAGUUAGAUUACAGGUUCUUCUCUUCUUGGACAAAGAAACGAACAAAAUGAGCAAAAGGCAAUGGCCAAGUUUAUUUGAAAAAGUAAAAGCGAGAAUGAGAGAGAAACUGGCUCUGCAGGGUGAGCUUGAGCCAAGUAAAAAAGGCAAAAGCAAGAUAAGAGGACACCCCGGAGGAUGCAGGGCAGGCUGUCCUGAAGAAAGUCACGAUAGCAAUCUCUUCUUGACAUCUGUGCGUUUUUAUCUGUUGAAAUUUUGAGGAAAUCCAUAAAAUUUCUCCACACAGGUCUUGAAAGGUGAUCCUGGAGCCCCACUUCUCAGACUGGAAAACCUGCUGGAGCUCCCACAAGAAAUCCACAUGCAGGGCUUUGGAAACUGCUGUGUGUGUGUGUCCAGGUCAUAUCACUAACGGUUCUGCCUGCUUCCCCAGUCAGCUUUGCCACACCCUAAUCUCCCAUGUUAACAUGAUAAAUAACUAGCUUCUUCUAGUCAUGUUACAUUUAAUCAAUAAUUCACUGUGAUAUGUUCAAGGUGGUACUAAAGUUAAUUUUAAUAUUAAAGCAAUAAUGUUAAUAUUAAUCACUGAAUGUUCAAAUAAUAUUUAGUCUCAAAUAAAUGGAUUGGUAUUUA
Molecule: long non-coding RNA, 5694 nt
Organism: Cavia porcellus (domestic guinea pig)
Lineage: Eukaryota; Metazoa; Chordata; Mammalia; Rodentia; Caviidae
Exons: 2
Source: RefSeq, a predicted model, not a curated record